Molecule: ribosomal RNA, 468 nt
Filed under: uncultured bacterium
Lineage: Bacteria
Description: partial 16S ribosomal RNA
Rfam family: Bacterial small subunit ribosomal RNA
Source: RNAcentral
GACGAACGCUGGCGGCGUGCCUAACACAUGCAAGUCGAACGGAAACGCCGUGCUUUUUUGGGGUGCUCGAGGUGCGAACGGGUGAGUAACACGUGAGUAACCUACACUUGACUGUGGGAUAACUUCAGGAAACUGGGGCUAAUACCGGAUAGGAGCUCCUGCUGCAUGGUGGGGGUUGGAUAGUUUCGGCGGUUGGGGAUGGACUCGCGGCUUAUCAGCUUGUUGGUGGGGUAGUGGCUUACCAAGCCUUUGACGGGUAGCAGACCUGCGCGGGUGAGCGGCCCCACUGCGACUGGGAUGCGACCCAGACCACAAUCGGAGGGAAGGGAGGAGUGUAGUAUACAAGGCGAGGAACCAAAGCGUGGCACAGCAAUGCGCGGUAUGUGGUGAAGCGGGUAGUAUUCCGCUUCUGUCUUACACGAAGUGUUAAUGACGGUACCGGGUAAAGAAGCACCGGCUAACUACGUG